GAUCCUGGCUCAGAUUGAACGCUGGCGGCAGGCCUAACACAUGCAAGUCGAACGGUAACAGGAAGCAGCUUGCUGCUUUGCUGACGAGUGGCGGACGGGUGAGUAAUGUCUGGGAAACUGCCUGAUGGAGGGGGAUAACUACUGGAAACGGUAGCUAAUACCGCGUAACGUCGCAAGACCAAAGAGGGGACCGUCGGUCCGUCUUCGUCCACUCGGACGUGUGGUCCCGACGAUGGGAGUUAGUCUAGUAGGU
RNAcentral lists this ribosomal RNA (253 nucleotides) under uncultured bacterium. Its description in RNAcentral is "partial 16S ribosomal RNA". It matches the Rfam family "Bacterial small subunit ribosomal RNA", at positions 15 to 258 of the family's 1533-position model. The record is from RNAcentral.